GAUGAACGCUGGCGGCGUGCCUAAUACAUGCAAGUCGAGCGAACAGAUGAGGAGCUUGCUCCUCUGACGUUAGCGGCGGACGGGUGAGUAACACGUGGAUAACCUACCUAUAAGACUGGGAUAACUUCGGGAAACCGGAGCUAAUACCGGAUAAUAUAUUGAACCGCAUGGUUCAAUAGUGAAAGACGGUUUUGCUGUCACUUAUAGAUGGAUCCGCGCCGCAUUAGCUAGUUGGUAAGGUAACGGCUUACCAAGGCAACGAUGCGUAGCCGACCUGAGAGGGGGUUCGCCCCACCUGGAACGGAACACGGGCCCAGCCCCCUAGGGGGGGCAGCAGGGGGGAAUCUUCCGCAAUGGGCGAAAGCCUGACGGAGCAACCCCGGGUGAGGGAUGAAGGUUUUCGGAUCGUAAAACUUUUUUAUUAGGGAAAAAAAAAUGUGUAAGUAACUAUGCACGUCUUGGCGGUACCUAAUCAAAAAGCCCCGGCUAACUCCGU
Molecule: ribosomal RNA, 496 nt
Filed under: uncultured bacterium
Lineage: Bacteria
Description: partial 16S ribosomal RNA
Rfam family: Bacterial small subunit ribosomal RNA
Source: RNAcentral